Molecule: transfer RNA, 82 nt
Organism: Algoriphagus sp.
Lineage: Bacteria; Pseudomonadati; Bacteroidota; Cytophagia; Cytophagales; Cyclobacteriaceae
Rfam family: tRNA
About the family: Transfer RNA (tRNA) molecules are approximately 80 nucleotides in length. Their secondary structure includes four short double-helical elements and three loops (D, anti-codon, and T loops). Further hydrogen bonds mediate the characteristic L-shaped molecular structure. tRNAs have two regions of fundamental functional importance: the anti-codon, which is responsible for specific mRNA codon recognition, and the 3' end, to which the tRNAs corresponding amino acid is attached (by aminoacyl-tRNA synthetases). tRNAs cope with the degeneracy of the genetic code in two manners: having more than one tRNA (with a specific anti-codon) for a particular amino acid; and 'wobble' base-pairing, i.e. permitting non-standard base-pairing at the 3rd anti-codon position.
Source: Rfam
GCGGAUGUGGCGAAAUUGGUAGACGCACUAGACUUAGGAUCUAGCGCCGCGAGGCAUGGGGGUUCGAGUCCCUCUAUCCGCA